CAAGUUCACCACCCGAACACUAAUUAUAGUGCAUCCCCUCACAUGUGACCCUAAUCACCCCUUUUGCCCUCCCCCCUCCCCCCUUCCCCAAUGGUAACCACCAGUCCAAUCUCCAAUGCUAUGUGUUUUUUUUUUUUGUCGUUUUUAUCUUCUACUUAUGAGUGAGAUCAUAUGGUAUUUGACUUUCUCCCUCUGACUUAUUUCACUCAGUGUAAUACCCUCAAGGUCCAUCCAUGUUGUCACAAAGUGCAUAAUUUCUUUAGCAUCUGCCUCUCCCACUGGACUACAAAUACCCGAAGGACUGUUUUGUACAAACAGCAUCUAUACAAAUAAGUGCUUAAAUUUUUGUAGAAUGAGCUAGCAGAUGAAUUAAUAAACAUAAAUAUUGCUGAAUUAAACAAAUGAAAUAUCAACCAAGGUUAAAUUCAAUCUUCGUUCAAAAAGAAUUUGUGAGCUCUGAGUCAACGGGAUAUUCUUAAGGCUGAGUCCAGCAGUCCUUCAGUAGGAGAGGCAGUGAACAUGCCUAGGGACUUACUAUCUUGGUUGUUUCCUGAAUUUUCCGGAUUCUUAAUACCUCUUCCAGAAUACGGUUUUCAGCACCUUGUUUCUUGACUCUGCUGUUUCAUGAUGGUUAACCUAACGCUUGAACAACAGACAGCUGCGUAGUACUUCCUGGUUUCGUCUCUGGCCUCCAGUCACAAGGAUAUGCCAAGUCCAUGAAAAGACCAGAUGGAGUCUAAAUCCAACGACGAGUACCCUUAUAAGAGACACACAGAGGAGAAGAUAGACACGGAGGAACAGGCAACGUGGAGAUGGAGACAGAGCCGGGAGUGAUUGACUAUAAGUCAAGAAAUGCCAACAGCUACCAGAAGUUGGAAGAGGCAAGGAAUACGUUCUCCCCUAGCGACUCUGGGAGGUUGCAUGGUUCAUACUAUUUCUAGAUAUUGAAGUCUUCAUUAUUUAUUAACGUAUUUCUGGAGGUGGAAGCUGGGUGAAAAUGGUCUGAACAUUGUUUAACACUUUGGAAGCAUAUUGCCAAAUUGCUCCUUGAAAGACCCUACUGAUUUACAUUCUCACCUGCAGGGCUUAUCCUCACUGGGGCCCCCUGAGCAACUCUAGAAAAAUGUCAAUUGCUUGUUUCCAUUUGAAGCCAGAGAAUUGUUCCUAUAUUGAUGAAAAAGCUACACGAGAUCACAGAACAUAUAAAAGAGCCUGGUCCUCAAUCAGAAAAUUUAGAAAAGAAAGAAAAACAGACGAUAGUCCUUUUCUAUUGAAGCUUUCUA
This 1283-nucleotide long non-coding RNA is filed under the name Equus caballus (horse). RNAcentral's name for it is "lncRNA (ENSECAG00000044110.1)". Lineage: Eukaryota; Metazoa; Chordata; Mammalia; Perissodactyla; Equidae. The record is from RNAcentral.